UACGAACUGUGCGAACGUUAUUCGGAAUCACUGGGCUUAAAGGGUGCGUAGGCGGCUUCCUAAGUCAGGUGUGAAAGCCCCCGGCUCAACCGGGGAAUGGCGCUUGAGACUGGGUGGCUUGAGUGAGGCAGGGGUGUGUGGAACUUCCAGUGGAGCGGUGAAAUGUGUUGAUAUUGGAAGGAACGCCGGCAGCGAAAGCGGCACACUGGGCCUUUUCUGACGCUGAGGCACGAAAGCCAGGGGAGCGAAC
This 250-nucleotide ribosomal RNA is filed under the name uncultured bacterium. RNAcentral describes it as "partial 16S ribosomal RNA". It matches the Rfam family "Bacterial small subunit ribosomal RNA", at positions 524 to 773 of the family's 1533-position model. The record is from RNAcentral.